RNAcentral lists this ribosomal RNA (253 nucleotides) under uncultured bacterium. Its description in RNAcentral is "partial 16S ribosomal RNA". It matches the Rfam family "Bacterial small subunit ribosomal RNA", at positions 524 to 776 of the family's 1533-position model. The record is from RNAcentral.
UACGUAGGGGGCAAGCGUUGUCCGGAUUUAUUGGGCGUAAAGAGCGUGUAGGCGGCCUUACAGGUCAGCUGUGAAAACUCGAGGCUCAACCUCGAGAUGUCGGCGGAAACCAUUUGGCUAGAGUCCGGAAGAGGAAAGUGGAAUUCCUGGUGUAGCGGUGAAAUGCGCAGAUAUCAGGAAGAACACCCGUGGCGAAGGCGGCUUUCUGGGACGGUACUGACGCUGAGACGCGAAAGCGUGGGGAGCGAACAGG